CAGAAGGAUUCGGCAAGGGAAUACAUUAAAUACAGGACGUAUAACUUAUGAGGUUAUUAUUGUUGUUUUUUUGGUUCCGGAUAUCGAACUCGGGCCCUUUCGCUUGUGAGGCAGGCAAUAGAACCACUGAGCUAAAUCCCUGGCCCUUUAUGAGGUUAUUUUAUGAUAAUUACCCAAAGAGUCAAAUGCAAAGGAGUGCAAGAGAUCAACUGCACACUUGAAGCUCAAAGGAUUCAGCUGAGGGCCUAGAUCCCAGCAGUUUCCCACACAAGUCCAGCUGAAGGCUUGGAGUCCAGCCAGUGGCAAUGUCGCAUGCUUGUCCGUAUGGAGGAUCUGCACCUGGAAGGCCCAAAGGCCAGUGGUAGAAGCCAGAAAAUCUAUGCUGGUGAGAUGAAGGAUUUGUGCCACCAAGGUGAGGGAUCCACACUGGAGCCAGGAAGUGAUGCUCAUGGUGAAGAUCAGAGCUCCCCUGAUGAAAACAACAGCCAUUCCCAGCAACAGCGAGUUCCCAAGCUCCUCCUCUGAUGAGAACAUCCUAGUCUGCAUAGGAAAAACCAUCCGCAGCAAACUUCUCCUAGCAAAUCAACAGGCCAAGACCUUCCCCUUCAGUUCUCUUUUUACAGCUAUUGGUAACAAUCUUCAGGUGGAUCCUCCACACCCAGACCGUGCUGAUUCAGUUCAGCUGGGCGUUACAAGUUGACCAUUAGUCAAUCCACCACAGUGGGUUCAAAUCCUCUUGUCACUUCCAGCUGUGUGACCUUGGCAAGAGACUUAACCUCUGUGUUGCACUUCCCUUAUGUGUAAAAUGGAAAUACUGACAGAGAGGUCUUGAGGGAUAAAUCACAGAAGUGGUGGGCCAGGGAUUUAGCUCAGUGGUUCCACUACCUGCCUCACAAGCAAAAGGUCACGAGUUCAAUCCCUAGUACAAAAAAAAAAGAAAAUAGUGCCUAGGAGUGGGAGUUCCCAGUGUGCUGGUCCUAUUACUGCCCACUGCAAGUCCCUCUCUGCCACCGAGCCAGCCAGGGAGCACGGAUGAUGACUCCUCUGAGCCGACUCUCUCCGUGGCUCUGGGUUCUGCAGGCCCCGUGGGAGUGCACCAGAGAGAAGUCCCCCAGAAGACCGGAACCCUGCCCAACAGGAUGCAGCUCUGGAAGGUAGAUGGCUCUCGGUGACUACCCACUGAAACCACACCUAUCCCUGCUGGGUGACAGGAGCAGGAGGCUUGGCCAGGCUGAAGCUGAGUGGACUCUUGAUUCUUCCACAGGCCCCCUGCUGCACAGUGUGGCGCUGGCCUCCUCGACCCACUGCUGGCUGCCUGGCCACUUCCUCUGGGAAACUGGCUAGUUUCGCCUGCAUGUUGUGGUGAGGGUUGCAGGAGGCAGAGUGCGCACAGUGGCCAGUCCUGUGGCUGGUGGGGGCAUCACUUGGUUGGAUCAGGGGAGAGUGUGGCCUCCAUGGCCAGGGCGGGGCAUGGGAGGGUCGAUUCCCACCCAGACCCCAGCAGCCAGCUGUGUCCCAUGCCAGCCUGCUCUCCAUAUGCCACUGAGUCGAGACCCAAAGACACAGCAGACUACUGGCGGGGAUAGCACCGUUUAUUAAGAAAAAUCAAGACAAAGACCCUUCUAGGACCUGAGGUCAGGUGUCCCAAAGCCACAAUAUGGGGACUGCUGACCACCAGGUCGGUCGUUGGGUUCCCAGGGGUGGGGCUGUCAUCUUCCUCCCACUCCCCCCAGUCAGGGGUCUUGGCCUCCCCACUCUAAGGCACUGGCUCUUCCUGACCACCAGUUCCCCCAAGUCCCUGGGCCUUCACCUCCAGAAGAGUGGGGGAUGUGGUCUGGUGUGGUGAGACCUCAGUGCUGGGUGUUCCAGGGAGGAGCUGGGGGGGUUUCCCUUGCAGCCCUGAGGGGGGACCCUGGACUGUGUGUGGGUGGUGGGAAUGCAGAGGGAGGGAGUGGAGGUGGGAGGAGGCUGUGCCGCUGGGCAGAGGUGGGGGAUUGGGAUGGAGCUGGUGGGGGGAAGAGCAAGCUGCCUUCUGCUCCACAGGGGGCGCUAUGGAGUUUUCCAGCCCAGGGUUGGGGGGGUAAGGGCAGGUGAUACCUCCUGUUCACUUAGCUGGUGGGCACCAGGUGGUGAGCUGAGAUGGUCCUCAGGAAGGAGGGCUGCCCAAGGGCUCCCAAAGUGGGUGGCCCAGUUCUUUGGGGGUUCCGUCAGGGCAUGAGGGGUUGGGAUAGAUCUGGGUCUACCCAGCCACCAUGCCUAACCUCAGUUCUUGGUGGCUUUCUGAGGCAACAGACCCUCCCACCUGCCCUGCCCACAGGCCUUGGUGCUUUUCCCAUGUGUGUGGGAAGCUGGUGUGCCCACCCUCCAGUCCAGCCCAGGGCAGUAGCAGCAAAGCAUGGCAUCGCUUCAGUUUCUUACAAAAAACUCAUAAUAAUAAUAUUAAUAAUAAUAUACUCGACAUUGUCAGGCUGGGCGUGGCCUGGGAGUCCAUGGGAAGCUGGCAAGUGCCUAUGAGGGGCAGGGGCGUGUGUUGGCUCCAGCCUGGGCACGGUGCUGCAGGUCUAGGGGUUGGGGCGGUGGUGCGCCAGGCCCAGCCGAGUGCAGCACUAGGUUCUUGAUACAGCCUGUGAUGCCUGAGGAGAACCUGCCUCUGGUCAGUGUGGCCACAUCUGGGGCGCCACCUGUGGGCAGGGGAGUGAGAGCGCUGGAGGGUUCCAGAAGCCCAGGAGGCCAGCAUUGCAGGACCACCGUGCCCUCCUUGCCCUUGGUGGGCUCCUCCCACCCCAGGCCAGCCCAAGACUUACCAAUGUACACCCUGCCUUUGGUGUUGACUGCCACAUUGGGGCCCGGGGACUGUCCGCUCACCAGCUCCUCGCCGUCAACCUGGAUGGAGCCUCUCCGGCCCUCUCUGCAGUGUGGCUGGGUCAGGCCCCCUGCCUGGCCUGGAUUCCCAUCCUUCCAGCCCACCCAUAAAACCCAUCCCCUUGGCAUGGAGACUCUGGACAGAUGAGCCAGGCCCAGCCCCUUGCACACCCCCCAAUCAUGGGCCUCACCCUGCAAACCCAGCUCUGGUUUGACCAGGGAGCUCCCCAACUCCAGUUUCCUGUUCUCUCACAGAGCUCAGUGGCCACUUCCCUGCCUGUGAUGGGGGCAUCCUAUCCCUCUGCAGGACUCUAGUCCUUUUUCCUAACGCCUGGCUGGGCUUGCUUACCGCAGCACUGCCACCCGGUGCCACUCGGCCGUCAUUGAUAGGGUCCUCAGAGACAAGGUGGGCCUCCCCACUGCCCAACUGGUAGCUGGAGUAACAGAGGCCCAUGAGUGCGAGCUGGUGCAGGACUGGUGGUAUGGAGCGGCGAGGGGGCGAGGUGAUAUGUGACUGGGGGACUGGCAGGGGCAGCUUCCCAUGGGAGGAGCCAGGGAGGGGGGAGGAGGAGGGGCAGGGUGCCAGGACCCACCUGAAGACAAGGAGGCCAUCCUGCAGUCCUAGGCUGAUGAAGUCCUUUCCUCGGUUGGCCUCUCCCACCUCCUGCCAAGGAAGCACAGGGUCUUAGAGUCCCCAGCCUGCAGAGCUGAGGUCCCUGAUGCUGUAGUACUGAGAGACCUUCCUCCCGCCCCAUGGCCCUGGCCACCAGUGGGCCAGCCUCCUGCUGCAGGAUCCCAAGACUCCACACCUGGUGCCCACUCACCACGCCCUGCCAGAGCAGCAAGCCGUUGGCCGUGCUGGUCCGAACCUCCAGCUCGAUAGUCUCGGGCACUUCAGGCAGGCUGUGGGGGGUGGGGAGGGGGGUGAGUGAGUGGACAGAGCUCUUGGACUCCUGUCCUCCCCCACCUGGACCUGUCUUACCUCCUGGAGAAGACUUGGCUGGGAAGGGCUAGGAAGCCAUCAUUGUGGAAAUAGGCUCCGCACUGCCCGGGGGCAUCUGUGGGCGGGGGUGGGUGAGGGUGAGACAUUGUCUCGGCAGGUAGGUGCGGUCCCCAAUGGGUUCCCUGGCCCCCACCUCCACUCCAUUACAGGGGCCCUCAACCUGUGGUCCCUCAGUACUAUCCCAAAGGGGCCACCAACAAACUCAAGGGGCCUUGAACUUGAUGGGAAAACGUCACAUCUAUUUUCAUUCACUCACUUCUCACUGACAUUUAGCAGCUCCCUCACUUAUGGCUGUUGGCAACCAGCCACAGCAGUAGCAUCAGAGCCUGGAACUUUUCCCCUAAUAUUUGCCUAGCACACUGGAGUAGUUGCAAAUAUUUCAAAACACUGCUCAUGCUUAAUGACUUAUUUACUGUGCUGAUAAAGAAGCACAUAUAUUAGGAGUCUACAAAUACUUUGGUAACUUGUUAUUCAGUCUAACUGGUUUCCUUUGAAAUCCUCUGUAUCUUAUUUUAUGGAGUUGCUUGGAUCCAUGUCCCUGUCUGCCAUGUUUCGUUAGCUUUAGCUCUGAGAAUCCCCAGCAAACUGGGCCAGCUGGUCACCUUGGUCCUUGGCAAUCAGGUUCAGAGCUUCAUGUGUUCCCUCUGCUUCAUGGGACAGGAGGGGGAGACAGGCUCAACAUAAGUUGCCCAAAACUGGGAAGCUGGGAUCUCAACCUGGGCCUUUCAGCUCCAGUGUCCACACUGUGGCUGUACCAUCCCCACUACCACCUGCUCACGACCCAGCCCACAGGCCAGCAUGGCCACAGGAGGACUGGCAGCUGCAAGGGACACUCAACAACUUCCCACCAAACAAUUCGAGUAACUGCUGACAUUUACCCAUUUACCAUGUACCUGCUAUGUGCCUAUGCAGGGAGCUUCCAAUUUAAGCUACAUAACCCUAUGAGUUAAUUUUAUUCAAAGUCUUAGGGAUUAAAAAACGUUAUACUUGGGCCGGGGAUUUAGCUCAGUGGUUCCGCUGCCUGUCUUGCAAGCACAAGGUCCCGAGUUCAAUCCCCGGCACCAAAAAAAAAAAAAAAAAGUUAUACUUUUCUCCAUUUAAUGCAUUGGAAAACUGAAGCACAGAGAGGUUAAGUGACUCACCCAGAGUCACAGUUAGUAGCAAGGCCCAGAUUUGAAUCCAGGCAGACUGGCUUCAGAGUCUAUGCUCUUAACCACUAUAUCACAGCCUCUCCUAUUAGUGACGAGAAGGAUGAUCUAUAAAGGACUUUACACAGUAACUGUAAAUGUUCAACAAACACUAUUUUAUUUACUUAUUUUUUUGUGGUACUGGGGACUGAAUCCCCAAGCCCUCACACAUGCUAGACACUCUACAACUGGGCCCAUCCUCAGUCCUUUUUGUGUAUGUGUAUGGUACUGGGAAGUGAACACAGAGCCUUUGCACUAAGCUACAUCCCCAAGCUCUUAAAAUAAAUUUUUUUGGGGAGGGUUAUGUGUCUGUAUUUUUUUUUUUUUUUUUUUUUUGGUACCAGGGAUCAAACUUGGGACCUUGCGAGGCAGGUAGCGGAACCACUGAGCUAAAUCCCUGGCUCAACUUUCUCGUUUUAUCUUUUUAAUUUUUCCAUUACUGGGGAUUGAACCCAGAGCCAUCACAUUGAGGUAGAUUUCCCAGUCAUUAAAUUUUUUUUUUUUUUAAUUUUGAGACAGGGUCUAGCUAAGUUGGCCACAUGGGGCUUGAACUUGUGAGCCUCCUGGUUCAGCCUUCCAGAGUGCUGGGAUUAUAGGACUAUACCACCAAGCCCCAUUUCACUUUUUGUUUUGUUUUGUUUUGAGACAAGGUCUCACUAUGUAGUCCAGGCUGGCCUCAAACUUGUGGUGAUACUCCUGCCUCAGCCUUCCGAGAGCUGGGAUUACAAGGAUAUGCCGCCAUACCAGCUUCACUUUAUUUAUUUAUUUUUUGGUACCAGGAAUUGAACUUGGGUUCUUGUGCUUGGGAGGCAGGCAGCAGCACCACUGAGCUAAAUCCCCAGUCCUGUGUGUGUUUUUGUUUGGUACCGGGGGAUCAAACUCGGGUCCUUGCACUUGCGCAGAAGGUGGUGAAACCACUGAGCUAAAUCCCUGGCCCACCUGUGUGUGUGUUUUUGAGACAGGGUCUCACUAUGCAGUUCAGGUUGGCCUUGAACUCACUAUGUUGCCCAGCCUAGCCUUGAACUCAUGGCAAUCCUCCUGCCUCAGCCUCCUGAGAGCUGGGAUUACAGGCAUGCGCCACCAUGCCUGGCAUCUUUAUUUUUACAAAGACAGCAGAAUCCUUGAGAGUGAGGGUCCUGCUUAUUCAUGUUAUAUUUUCUGCUCCCAGGCAAAACUGAGCACACAAUAGGUGUUUGUUAAUUGUAUAAUUACAGAAGAGGAGAGUGAGGUCAGGGUGGUUCAAAGAGCUGCUCAAGGUCACCUUGCCAGUAAACCUGAGGCAGGUCCCAGCUUUGUACGUGGCUUUUCUUUCUUCUGUAUCCAGCAAGCCCCUCACCUAGGCCUUUUUGCUUAGAGGCUGGAGUGGAAGUGUGAGUAAUCAGAAGAGAAGGCUGACAGGCUAAGGCCAAGGAGGAGAUAAGCCCACAGGGCUGCCCUGGCUGGCCACAGGGCCACAGCAGGUACAUACCGUUGCCCCCACUGCCUUCAAGAUGCCAACUGGACUCCACUGUGUCAUGUCCAGACCCUGUGGGGGAGGGUGGGUCCAGUUGGUUGAUGAAGAUCCCCAGGGGAACUUGUCCAGCCCCAGGGACCCCCUGGGAGGUGAAAGGAAAGCAGGCCUGGAUACCUUGUUGGCAGUGUGAGCCAGAGAAGCCAGGCGGGCAGAGGCACUGGGUGCCUUGGCAGGUGCCCCCCAUGCAGGCAGGGCUCACGGAGCUGGCAGGGGUUUUCCUCAUGCUCACAGAGGUCUCCUAUAGGCCAGGGCAGAGAUGAGUGGGUGGGCAGGGGCUGGAGGUACCACCAACCACUGUGCCCUCCUGGAGUACCAGGCCAGCUCGAACCUUUGAAGCCAUCUCGACAUAGGCACUGGAACUCAUACUCGCCAGCGGGCAUGCAUGUGGCACCAUUGUGGCAUGGCUGGCGCUUCGCAGGGGGGAGUUGUCAUAGCACUGCCCAAUUCCCUGGCUGCCCAGGAAGCUGUAGGUGAGGUCCAGUCGCUUGCCAUUCACAGACACCUGUGGGCACAGGGACACCAAGGAGCUAAAGGAAUGCCAGAGGUAGAGGCACAGUGUGCCAGCAGAGAAGAAUGUGGUGGGGUUGGGGUGCCUGGGUGGUGAGAGAGAUCCUCAGUGUGGGAGGGGGAUGCAGAAGUUGAGUGCCUACUGUGUGCCAGCCCUCAGUACACCCUGCCCAGGAGUGGCUAACAUUUGCACUUUACAGAGAGGAAACAGGCUCGGUCAGGAGGUGGGGAUCCCAGGCCAGGUGAGUGUCAGGCAGCGUUGGUUUGACCACAGCCCCCCUCUGGUCCCCUGGAGGCUGCUUCUCACCUCACCCACGCAGCCACGGAAGUGAGCGCUCACGUUGGUGGCCGGGGACAGUGGCACGGAGGGCUCCACGCCUCCCAGGUAGAGGAGGGUGUGCAGGUUGAGGCCCUGGCUCUUGCCUGGCGAGGAGCGCAGCACUGGGCGGCCCCCAUUUACCCGCAAGCUGCCGUCCUUAUUCAGGCGCUCUGCAGACACACGGUGCCAGCGGCCCAGAGCCAGAGGCUCGGGCUCCGCAGGACAGCCAGCCCUGAGGGGAUACCAGGCAGGGUUAGGUACCAAGGGGAACCUGGCCCUGAACCCUCCCCUAGGUAUGUGAGCACACAGGGAACUUCCCCAGUGAGGGACCCAUGGCCAAGGGUUUGCUCAGUCACACAGGGACGGUGUGGGAACAAGGGCUUCAGGUGUGUGGCUGCUGGAUUUGUCCCUUUGAGCCUCCUUGGGCGUGGAGAGCCAAAGGGGGCACAGCUGGGCACCCAGAGAACCAUGUGCCCCUGGUGCCCAGUGCCUACCUGACCCCAGCUCAUAGCGGAACUCCAGGUGGCCACUGAGCAUCGCCAAGGACACGAAAUCCCUCCACAGGCCCGAUCCUCCCCCCGCUGAACAGCAGGAUCCCAUCUGGCGCCAGGGGCUUGAACUCCAUGUCCAGCCGUAGCUCGUGGUGUGUGUUGGUGAGGGCAGGGAGUGCCAGGUAAGAGCCAGCGCCCGACAUGGAUGGGGCAGUCACUGUCACACCUGCAGCAGCCACAGCUCAGCCAGGGGCAGUGGGGCCAAGGGGUUCUGGGCAGGACCCAGCUACUCGGUUUUCCCUGAGACCCUUGCCCACCUCACUCCCCAUUUCAGAGGCUUGGUACCAGCUGGGUGCCAGCUGUUGCUGGCCAGGAGCCCCAGGCCUGGCUCUGCAGAUCAGGCUGUGAGCACCUCUAGCCUGGGGGCCUCCCUGGGGGCCCUCACAUAAGGGAUUCAGGCUGGCAGCAGACAGGUGUUUUUGAGAUUUUAGGGCUUCAAGAUAAAUUUAUCACCUGCAGGGUCCAACAUGGCCUCUGAGUGCCCUGGCCACCAUCCCCAACUGUCACUGAGACCCUAGGGGUCAUACCUGACUCUACUUACCUUCCCUCACACCUCACUCCCUGAGCGGCCCAGGUGGCAGCGGCAGGUGUAGCCUCGACCAUCGGGCCGGUUCACACAGGUGGCGUCGGGCCCGCAGGCCUCUGGGGGCACAGGGGCCAGUGAGAAGGACACUGAUGUGACUUGGGAGGAGGUGAAUGUGGAUGCCUACGCCCUGCCCAUUGCAGAUGGCCAUUAGGGCCAGGCCAGCCUAGGAGGGCUACUGGGAGGAGCAGAGAGCCAGGCAUGGGACAGCCAGGGGCAUGAAGAGUGACCAUAUGUCUGCUAUUGCUUACGAUGCACCUGGGCAGAGUAUGGGCUGAGGGGCACCUGGGUAGAAGAUGGGAAGGUGGCAGGGACCCAAGGGGCAGUGCCUGGGCUGGGGUGAGAGCCUGGCUGGCCAUGGUGGGGGAGCUUCCAGUCCUUGGGUAAGAGUGACGGAGUGUGGAAGGACCCCAGCCACUGCAGGGGGUGACACACGAGAGAGCAACACCUAGGGAGAGUGACUGGGGGAGGGUCACACCUGGGUGGCAGUGCAGGGCCUGCGAGUGCUCACAGCGGCUCCCAGUGAAGCCAGAUGGACAGACGCACACAUAGCUGCUGCUCUUUCUGAGUCAUGGCACUGGCCUCCAUUCUGCAAAGCAGCCACCAGAGGUCAGGCCAAGGACACCCAGCCCAGCCCCUCCUCCAAGGCCAGCCACGGCUCAGGUGGCUGGGUGUGUGGGCUGGGGGCCACCUGGCAUGGCAGGUUCCGGCAGGUGGGGCAGUGGGAGAUGCCAUGUGCCGUGAGGUUGAGGUCAUGGAAGAUGAUCUCCUCGCCCUGGAUGCGCAGCUCCCGGACACAGCCUGGAGAGCAGGUGGGCAGGAUGAGCAGGGGCCAGAGGUGUGAGGAGCUUGUCAGCCCAGCCCACACCCGUGCCCCGCAGUGUCUGCCCAGCUUGGCCUGGGGGAGGUGGGGACAGGCUCACCUAUGAAGCCACUGCUCAGCCCUGCCUUGGGGAUAGUGCCAUAGUCGGGGUAGCCACCCAGGUAUAGCUCCUCAUUCAGGUCCAGGGAGCCCUGGGUGAGGUUGCGCAGCAGGGUUAUGGUGUGGAACUGGCCUAGGGCCAGUGGUGUGGGGUGGCGGAUGGUGGCCAUGCCAGAGCCUGCAUCAAACCUGCUCCAUGGGGCAGCACAGGGGUAGAAGAGGGUGAAUAGAAGUUGUAAUAUGGCCAUGGAGUGGCCCAGCCUGGGUGAUGGGGUGCCAGAGGAAGGAUGUCACGAUGUCC
This 9748-nucleotide long non-coding RNA is filed under the name Heterocephalus glaber (naked mole-rat). RNAcentral describes it as "lncRNA (ENSHGLG00100050668.1)". Lineage: Eukaryota; Metazoa; Chordata; Mammalia; Rodentia; Bathyergidae. The record is from RNAcentral.